GACGAACGCUGGCGGCGUGCUUAACACAUGCAAGUCGAGCGGUAAGGCCCUUUCGGGGGUACACGAGCGGCGAACGGGUGAGUAACGCUUGGGAAUCUGCCUAUUAGUGGGGGACGAACCCGGGGAAACUCGGGCUAAUACCGCAUACGCUCUACGGAGGAAAGCCGGGGACCGCAAGGCCUGGCGCUAAUAGAUGAGCCCAAGUCGGAUUAGCUAGUUGGUAGGGUAAUGGCCUACCAAGGCGACGAUCCGUAACNGGUCUGAGAGGACGACCAGUCACGCCGGAACUGAGACACGGUCCGGACUCCUACGGGAGGCAGCAGUGGGGAAUAUUGGACAAUGGGCGAAAGCCUGAUCUAGCGACGCCGCGUGGGUGAAGAAGGCCUGCGGGUUGUAAACCUCUUUCAGCUCCGACGAAGCGAGAGUGACGGUAGGAGCAGAAGAAGCACCGGCCAACUACGUGCCAGCAGCCGCAGUAAG
This 480-nucleotide ribosomal RNA is filed under the name uncultured bacterium. RNAcentral's name for it is "bacterial SSU rRNA". It matches the Rfam family "Bacterial small subunit ribosomal RNA", at positions 28 to 524 of the family's 1533-position model. The record is from RNAcentral.